RNAcentral lists this long non-coding RNA (942 nucleotides) under Anas platyrhynchos platyrhynchos (common mallard). RNAcentral's name for it is "lncRNA (ENSAPLG00000025245.1)". The record is from RNAcentral. Lineage: Eukaryota; Metazoa; Chordata; Aves; Anseriformes; Anatidae.
UACCCAAGAUACUUUCAUGGAGCCAGAAUUCCUCAGUGUUUAAUUGUAGGCACACUCCAGGGAUCCCACUUCACAAUAUACAGCUUGGUGACCUAUGAAAGAGUCUGAGAGCUUUGGAGUUGGAGAUCCAGCACGACUUCUUAUUUGGGACAGGACAGAGCUGCUAAGAAUCUGAUUGGAGAGUCACAGAGCUCAAGAGCAGAAGAAACUGAAGCCUCUGAAGUUUGGUUCUCUUGGUGGGAGUGCUGUGGAAGCAGGCAAGCUGGCAUGUAACCAGGCAAUUAUGAAAGUGAUGUGAAUGAAAGACUCUAAAACAACAAUUUUUAAUGGAAAAUUUCUGAUCAGAUCAGGUGUCAUUUAUGUAGUCUUGGUAUGACUGAAUAGCACAUUCAAAGACAGUCUCCCUUUAGUGAGACUUUACUCCUGUAGUGACGUAUAAAAUUAUUAGACACUAGAAAUUCAGUUGCUCCUAUUCGGUCAGAGAAGACCCAAAGAGGAGAAAGAGUGCAGAAAUGCACAUCUGGUCCAGCUCAUCUUGCUGUCCAAGGUGCUACAGUUAUGUGCUAAUGAAGAAAACCAUGUUCUGCUGGCCUCCAAGCAUGUAGUGUGAUAAUUCUGAAAGCUAAAAUGGAAUAACAGGACAAAACAGAAGCCUCCCUCUCCCAAGCAAAUGUCUUCAAGUGCAGACAAAUAUUUUGGAUGAUGCUCAUGUAACAUAUGACAAGUUAAACAAGUAGACCUUAAGCUUUGCUCCAGUUAUCAAAGAAGCAUACAGACGUUGACAGCAGUGGGAAGCUGGUAUCAACACUCCUUACCAUUGAUAAAGAACUUGAGGCACAGAGGAGGAAUAUCUUGCCCAAAACCACAGGACGGGGAGAUGUGCAGACAUAAAAGACCCCAGCAGUCCUGAAUCAAGGAGAAAUAAAGUGUAGGAGGACAUCA